RNAcentral lists this ribosomal RNA (253 nucleotides) under uncultured bacterium. RNAcentral's name for it is "partial 16S ribosomal RNA". It matches the Rfam family "Bacterial small subunit ribosomal RNA", at positions 524 to 776 of the family's 1533-position model. The record is from RNAcentral.
UACGAAGGGGGCUAGCGUUGCUCGGAAUCACUGGGCGUAAAGGGUGCGUAGGCGGGUGUGCAAGUCUGUGGUGAAAGCCUCCAGCUUAACUGGAGAAGUGCCAUGGAUACUGCACAUCUUGAGGAGGGUAGGGGCAUCUGGAACGGUCGGUGGAGCGGUGAAAUGCGUUGAUAUCGACCGGAACUCCGGUGGCGAAGGCGAGGUGCUGGACCCUUUCUGACGCUGAGGCGCGAAAGCCAGGGGAGCAAACGGG